This is a small nucleolar RNA of Rattus norvegicus (Norway rat), 134 nucleotides long. Ensembl annotates it as small nucleolar RNA SNORA17. The record is from Ensembl. Lineage: Eukaryota; Metazoa; Chordata; Mammalia; Rodentia; Muridae.
AUCGUCUCAAUAGGUAUUGAAAAGGUCCUUCACAAAAUCCAACACUCCUUUACAAUGUGCAUGAGUAGGCGGCCGAGAGGAGAGAGUCUAUGUCUAUGCUCAGUAAACAUCUGAAUGAUUAGUAGCCUAACAUU